UACAACAGUAAUGCAAGUGGGCCUCAGAUUCCGACAACUUUCACUGGCUCGAUGCUUUUGAUUUGAUUUAUUUUCUCUUCUCACUUUUUGCAAAACCAAAAGACAGCACCACAGCAAAGAAAAAACUCCACACAUUUCACUCUACUACGCCCUCUAUUCACACACUCUUUGAAGAGUAAAGUGAAGUAGAGAUGGGGGAAGGAAAAGGGUCGAGUCUAGUUCAUUUACUUGUCAUAGUUUUGAGCUUAACGGCAUUUGGCUUUGCUAUUGCUGCUGAACGCCGCCGAAGCACUGUAAUCCUCCUCUCUCUCUAUCUCUGUGUGUGUGGGUGUGAGUGUGAGUGUGAGUGCGGUUUCAUAAACGUUUGAGCAAGAAUUGAUUUGGGUUUUGUAGAUCACAAUGAAAUGUUAUCAUUUCUUGCUUUGAUUUUGGUUUUCGUAGCAUCUGUUUAGUUUCUUGAAACUAUUUGCUUUGGUGUUUGUUGUUUUGCGAUUUUGGGUUCUCAUAUAAUUGAGAUUUUGGAAGAAUAUUAUGAAUUUUGUGAGGGAUAGUUCAGCAGGUAGUGAUGUCUGCCAAUUUGUGGUUUCUAGUUAUAAAUAUGAAGUAUACUUUGUUAUAUUUUAGCAAGGGAAUUGUUGUUGUGCUUUGGAGCUGUAUCUACACUGAACUGAUAUAUAUGUGAUUAGGUUUAGGCUAUGUUUAAUUACAACCAAUUCCAUUGAAAAUGGAAAUCAAAUUCCAUCUCUCCAAUUUUUUGUUGUUUGAUUGACAAAAUUUUUCCUAAAAUUCGAAUUCCACCUUUUAUACCACCUAAUCUAAUUUCCAUGUUUUCCUUGAAUUCUCGGUUACUAUAGUAUUUUUUUUUCGAUUUUUUGGUAAUGGAAACAAAUUCUAAGAAUUAUUGUAAAAAAAUAUUUCCCUUUAAAUGACAAUUUUUAUGUAAAACAAGACAAAACGAACACCAAAGGAUAAAUGAUUUUUUUGAAAUUUUUUUUUUGUUUUUUUUUUUUUUGUAUGUGUUGGUAAUGGAAACAAAUCUCAUCCCCAAUACCAGUAAAAUCUAUCCGUUUAAUUGACAAUUUUCAUGUAAAACAAAAUCAAACGGAGAUAAAAAAAAUAUUUUUAUUUCAACAUUUUUCACAUGAAAAAUUAUUUUAAUCAAACACAAUAAUUUACAACUUUCAAGAAAAUAAUUUCUAGGCAAUUCAAUUCCCUGUAAUUCGUUUUCAAUUCAAUUCAAUUUCAUCGUUACAAUCAAACGGACCCUUAAUGAAACUUAUGGUUAUUGGAUUUUGCUAACUCGUAGCUUUUAUUAUGAAAUUUGAAAAUUUCUGGCAAAGUUGAAGUGAUAUGACACAGGUGUAGCCUACAAACUAGAAAGCAUGUUUUUAAGGACUUCAGAUUCUGAUUGUAACAUCUUGUUGUUAGGAUCUCUCUCUGUGGUUUCAUAUAGAGGACUUAUUGAUUUCUGAAGGAAGGUUUUGUUGCUUAGAUGUACAUUUAUUUCUUGCAAUUUUUUAGAAGAAUUCG
RNAcentral lists this long non-coding RNA (1530 nucleotides) under Olea europaea (common olive). RNAcentral's name for it is "long non-coding RNA (OEUR_LNC002993)". Lineage: Eukaryota; Viridiplantae; Streptophyta; Magnoliopsida; Lamiales; Oleaceae. The record is from RNAcentral.